This 75-nucleotide transfer RNA is filed under the name Thomasclavelia ramosa. Its description in RNAcentral is "Erysipelatoclostridium ramosum tRNA-Gly". It matches the Rfam family "tRNA". Rfam says of the family: Transfer RNA (tRNA) molecules are approximately 80 nucleotides in length. Their secondary structure includes four short double-helical elements and three loops (D, anti-codon, and T loops). The record is from RNAcentral. Lineage: Bacteria; Bacillati; Bacillota; Erysipelotrichia; Erysipelotrichales; Coprobacillaceae. RNAcentral also lists the same sequence under 5 other names.
GCUUCAUUAGUAUAAUGGUUAUUAUAUCUGCCUUCCAAGCAGAGGAUGUCGGUUCGAUUCCGACAUGAGGCUCCA